This is a non-coding RNA of Paramuricea clavata, 996 nucleotides long. NCBI's taxonomy places the organism in Eukaryota, Metazoa, Cnidaria, Anthozoa, Malacalcyonacea, Plexauridae. The record is from the annotation of a GenBank genome assembly.
CAUUGUUACAAUAUGUUGACAACCAUGCUACAAGCUUGUUGCGAACACAUCUUGUUGACAAGUUGUGAGAUUUUUACGUGUGUAGACUAAAUAUUUAUAUCUCGUUUGCCAAGGAUUGUUUUAAAUGGCUUCAAACACAAGCAUUUUUUCUUUCUACAGUACGAACAUGUUUUGUUGGUCUUCGAGAUAAACAUUCCAGUUAAUGAGACGAGAACUCCGCCAGUGCCUCGUUACCUCGAAACAUAAGGUCGUGCGGCAAUGAAUUAAAGUUUAAACAUUACGGAAUAUAUAGUACACUAACAAGAUGUACUCCCUGCAGUUGUUGACAUGUCUGGAACAUCAACCUUGUAACACAGAGGUAACUUGUUCCAAACUGGUCGCAACAACUGCCAGGAACAAUCGGUGCGAACACAGGGGCACAGUAAAUCCGUUAAUCCACGAAUUGUCCAAGAAUUGCUAUCGUCAGUAUGUAAUAGAGAGAACAGACGUAUGAUGCGCUUUGCCUUGUUUUCUAGGUUUACAUCAGUCAAAAUACAAGAACCUUCCACUUCCGCUUGUUUUCUCUUUGUGACAACAGGCUCAGUCUGUAUUAAGACUGCAUGAUUGAUCCUUCUAUUCCUGACUAGCUAAUGGUGCUCGUUCUCCUCACGAACCAAUUAGAAUGGAGAUGUUUUAGCUAGUGAACAGAAACCUUUAACACCUAGGAGAUUAAAUUUUUGGAAACCCUAGCUAAUCAUAGAUUAAUAGAUUUAAAACAUUGUAAUUGUCACGUGUCUAUAGCUCUUGCUUAUUGAUGUACACAUGCGCGUGAAAACGCGCAUGUUGUUAGUUGUUACAGAUCUGUAAACAAGUUGUAACAAGGUUGCUGUCAAGCCGAUAUCGGGAUGUGUUUGCACUGGCUGAGUGGCUGUUCUCAGCUUUUGUGAUAAGUCUGGAACAUGUCAUCACAUUGUUACAAGGUCAGUUGAUGACGGUAACAGAUGGGCUUUCUAUAAG